AUGGGGAUGGCCGGGAGCCAAGGGCCCCCCGUGAAAGGGCAGGGUAUUCCGGGGGUCCUGUGGGGCGGAGGAACCGGAGCUGGGGCCCCGGGCCCAGAGCUCCAGCUGCCCUGCCAAUCUGGCAAGGCUGGCUUCAUUUGCAGUCUUGAGUCACAGCUUCUCCUCCCUCCAGCUGGGGGGAGGGGGCCGGGCUUGCCCAGUGGGACUGGGGGGCGGGUCCCCCCUCGGGAUCAGGCUCCCUCGCCUCUCACCCCCCCCCCAGGCGGCCAGGCUCGUCUUUCGAGGGCCCGCGAGGCGAGCGGCAAGCCCCAGCAUGCCAGGAACCAGGAGAGGUGGCGGCGCGGAAGGGGGGCGGGGGAAGUUUUGGGGGGCUUUGGGGACCUGAGGGGGGGAAGGGCAAGGGCCCAGGGAGGGGCAAAACAAAGGGCCGCUUCAGGAAACCCAACCUGGCUCAGCGACGCCGCCCCGGGAGGCCCCGGCUCUGCCGUGCUGCCUCCAUGCCUCAAAGCCCCCGAGGAAUGGAGCCGGCCCGGCCAGCGGGCUCCAGAGGUGUGUGGUGGGGGGCGGGGGCGGGGAGGCAAGAGGAGAAGCCCGAGGGGCGCCCCCACCUGGGGUUGGAGCCCGGCCCGGCUCCUCCGCCCCGCGCGCCUCGGCCAGGGGCAAGGGGCGGGGCGCGCUGGGGGCGGGGGAGCUGCGCCCUCUCCCCCGGCCCCGCGCCGGGAGGGGUGGCCGGGGGUUCCCGGGGGCGGGAGUUGGAGCGGGCUGCAAACUUCUGGGGCCAGAGCUGGGAGGAAAGAGAGGGGGAGAAAAGGGGGGUGGCCCGGCUCUCUCCGAGCUCCAGCUCCCGCCGCACUUCGCCCAGCCCAGCCUAGCCUUGCCCUGCCCAGAGCCGCGCCUGGUCGGCCUGGGGAGUCGGAGCCGAACCGAGCCGGCCGCGCCGCGCCACCCUUUCCUCACUCACCGAGUCCCCAGGCUCCGGGAGGGGCGGCGAACCGCCAAGGAGGCUCCGGGCCGGCGUCCUGCUCCUGCUCUGGCCGGUGCCGCUGCCUCUAG
RNAcentral lists this long non-coding RNA (1053 nucleotides) under Monodelphis domestica (gray short-tailed opossum). Its description in RNAcentral is "lncRNA (ENSMODG00000029657.1)". Lineage: Eukaryota; Metazoa; Chordata; Mammalia; Didelphimorphia; Didelphidae. The record is from RNAcentral.